UGACUNGAGUGCAGAAGGGGAGAGUGGAAUUCCANGUGUAGCGGUGAAAUGCGUAGAUAUAUGGAGGAACACCAGUGGCGAAAGCGGCUCUCUGGUCUGUCACUGACGCUGAGGCUCGAAAGCGUGGGUAGCGAACAGGAUUAGAUACCCUGGUAGUCCACGCCGUAAACGAUGAGUGCUAGGUGUUAGGCCCUUUCCGGGGCUUAGUGCCGGAGCUAACGCAAUAAGCACUCCGCCUGGGGAGUACGACCGCAAGGUUGAAACUCAAAGGAAUUGACGGGGGCCCGCACAAGCGGUGGAGCAUGUGGUUUAAUUCGAAGCAACGCGAAGAACCUUACCAGGUCUUGACAUCCCGAUGCUAUUCUUAGAGAUAGGAAGUUACUUCGGUACAUCGGAGACAGGUGGUGCAUGGUUGUCGUCAGCUCGUGUCGUGAGAUGUUGGGUUAAGUCCCGCAACGAGCGCAACCCUUAUUGUUAGUUGCCAUCAUUAAGUUGGGCACUCUAGCGAGACUGCCGGUAAUAAACCGGAGGAAGGUGGGGAUGACGUCAAAUCAUCAUGCCCCUUAUGACCUGGGCUACACACGUGCUACAAUGGUCGGUACAACGAGUUGCGAGCCGGUGACGGCAAGCUAAUCUCUGAAAGCCGAUCUCAGUUCGGAUUGGAGGCUGCAACUCGCCUCCAUGAAGUCGGAAUCGCUAGUAAUCGCGGAUCAGCACGCCGCGGUGAAUACGUUCCCGGGCCUUGUACACACCGCCCGUCACACCACGAGAGUUUGUAACACCCGAAGUCGNUGA
This 795-nucleotide ribosomal RNA is filed under the name uncultured bacterium. Its description in RNAcentral is "bacterial SSU rRNA". It matches the Rfam family "Bacterial small subunit ribosomal RNA", at positions 638 to 1433 of the family's 1533-position model. The record is from RNAcentral.